AUUGAACGCUGGCGGCAGGCCUAACACAUGCAAGUCGAGCGGAAACGAGUUAUCUGAACCUUCGGGGAACGAUAACGGCGUCGAGCGGCGGACGGGUGAGUAAUGCCUGGGAAUAUGCCUUGAUGUGGGGGAUAACUAUUGGAAACGAUAGCUAAUACCGCAUAAUCUCUUCGUCUUUAACAAGGCGGGGAGCGAAGAGGGGGACCUUCGGGCCUCUCGCGUCAAGAUUAGCCCAGGUGGGAUUAGCUAGUUGGUGAGGUAAGGGCUCACCAAGGCGACGAUCCCUAGCUGGUCUGAGAGGAUGAUCAGCCACACUGGAACUGAGACACGGUCCAGACUCCUACGGGAGGCAGCAGUGGGGAAUAUUGCACAAUGGGCGAAAGCCUGAUGCAGCCAUGCCGCGUGUAUGAAGAAGGCCUUCGGGUUGUAAAGUACUUUCAGCAGUGAGGAAGGUGGUGUACUUAAUACGUGCA
RNAcentral lists this ribosomal RNA (473 nucleotides) under uncultured bacterium. RNAcentral's name for it is "bacterial SSU rRNA". It matches the Rfam family "Bacterial small subunit ribosomal RNA", at positions 30 to 471 of the family's 1533-position model. The record is from RNAcentral.